RNAcentral lists this ribosomal RNA (292 nucleotides) under uncultured bacterium. RNAcentral describes it as "partial 16S ribosomal RNA". It matches the Rfam family "Bacterial small subunit ribosomal RNA", at positions 505 to 796 of the family's 1533-position model. The record is from RNAcentral.
GUGUCAGCAGCCGCGGUAAUACGAAGGGGGCUAGCGUUGCUCGGAAUUACUGGGCGUAAAGGGCGCGUAGGCGGGUCGUUUAGUUAGAGGUGAAAGCCCAGGGCUCAACCCUGGAAUUGCCUUUAAUACUGGCGGCCUUGAGUAUGGCAGAGGUGUGUGGAACUCCGAGUGUAGAGGUGAAAUUCGUAGAUAUUCGGAAGAACACCAGUGGCGAAGGCGACACACUGGGCCAUUACUGACGCUGAGGCGCGAAAGCGUGGGGAGCAAACAGGAUUAGAUACCCUGGUAGUCC